CGCUCAGGUCCAGGUGCUGCAGCUUCGUCAGCAGCACGAAGUUGUCCAAACCGUCGUAGGUGAGCUGAGAGCCGCUGAGGUCCACGGCCACCACGGGGACGUGGUGGAACUGCAGCACUUCGGGGCUCCAACGCCCGCGGGAGUCUGCACAGAGCCAGCGCUGCUGGCCUUCAAAUCUCACCCUCCCGCCGCAUGACAUGGCG
RNAcentral lists this long non-coding RNA (203 nucleotides) under Gallus gallus (chicken). Lineage: Eukaryota; Metazoa; Chordata; Aves; Galliformes; Phasianidae. The record is from RNAcentral.